GUGAUAUAUAUAAGGUUACUUCAUCGAACACGGGACGAGCAGUGCAAACGGAUCUUAAUCGGAUCGCUGAAACUGCAGAUACCUCUACACAUACGGGUUUGAGAUAUGUUUUGAGAGAUACAGCAGUAGCUCUAUUUCGGCAACCUGAUUAUUGCAUUUCCAGUUACUCAUGUGUGGUUAUACCAAAGUUCUCUAGAGCAGCGGCUCAGCAAUGCUUUGAUCAACUUGUGUUCAGAGAGAGGGUUAGAUAUGAUGAAGAGACCAUUGUCAAUGUGGACAAUAUAUAUAAAAACUCAAAGCACAACAAGUAGAGAUCGACUAAUGAAUCUCACAAUGACAAUGUAGAGGUUACAAUAUUACUUGCUGCUGUUGGGAAGUCUAAAGUUGGCCACUAUCAUUGACAGCAGUGACUUGAAGAAAGUGAUGGAAGAGCUUGCAUCCAUUGAUCCCAGCAGACUAGGACUAUUAGGAGUAGAGGUACUGCAUGUGGACACCUCAGUUCUCUUCAAAUGCGGCAAGCAAUUGAAUUUAAUCACCUGAUUCUCAGGUGCCCAUUUUCCUAAGGCAUGUUGAUGUCAUUGCAGCCCGACCCCCAAUUGGCAACCAGCCAAUCCAGGAAAUCUCAAGCUGUUCGCACUGGUGGUUCUGCUUGAGUGGCAAUUAGACCUGCGAAUUGAAGAGUUCCUGACUUUCUUGUUAUUUCGUAUUAUGAGAAAGACAAAAAAUUCUUACUAUAUAGUUUGAGAUGUUAUGCAGACAAUUUUUGG
Rosa rugosa (rugosa rose) is the source of this 767-nucleotide long non-coding RNA. RefSeq lists it as uncharacterized. Lineage: Eukaryota; Viridiplantae; Streptophyta; Magnoliopsida; Rosales; Rosaceae. The transcript has 5 exons. The record is from RefSeq and is a predicted model, not a curated record.